RNAcentral lists this ribosomal RNA (776 nucleotides) under uncultured Neocallimastigales. RNAcentral describes it as "partial large subunit ribosomal RNA". It matches the Rfam family "Eukaryotic large subunit ribosomal RNA", at positions 24 to 638 of the family's 3401-position model. Lineage: Eukaryota; Fungi; Neocallimastigomycota; Neocallimastigomycetes; Neocallimastigales. The record is from RNAcentral.
GUAGUCUCGCACAGAUGCAUAUCAAUAAGCGGAGGAAAAGAAACUAACAAGGAUUCCCCUAGUAACGGCGAGUGAAGCGGGAAGAUGCUCAAAUUUGAAAUCUUAAAGGGUUUCCCUUUACGAAUUGUAGUUUAAAGAAGUGUUUUCUGUUGAGGUUUUGGUAAAAGUUCUUUGGAAUAGGACAUCAUAGAGGGUGAGAAUCCCGUAUUUGACCUUUACUUUCAACUUUGUGAUACACUUUCAAAGAGUCGGAUUGUUUGGGAAUGCAGUCCAAAAUGGGUGGUAAAUUUCAUCUAAAGCUAAAUAUUGGCGAGAGACCGAUAGCGAACAAGUACCGUGAGGGAAAGAUGAAAAGAACUUUGAAAAGAGAGUUAAACAGUACGUGAAAUUGUCAAAAGGGAAGCGUUUGACACCAGUGUUGUUUUUCUGAAAAUCAAUUAAAGAACUGUUUAUGCUAAGCUGUUUAGACUUUAUCAGCUAUCUGUUUAGUUUUGAGCUUUUCUUUAAUGCACUUUUCAGUUAACAAGUCAACCUCAAUUUCUUUUGCUGUAAAAAAGCUUGAGGAAGGUGGCUUGAGAUUCGUCUUAAGUGUUUAUAGCCUCUUGCCUAUGCAGUCGGAGAGAUUGAGGUCUGCAGCGUAGAUCCUUCGGGGCUAAAUGCAUUUGUGCUAAGUUAUAGCAUUUUAUAGACAACUUGUUGACUAUGAUUUGUCUUGUAGCUUACUCGCUUAUGUUAUUUUACCUACGCUUAGGAUGUUGAUCAGCAGUAUAGACUGU